UAGACUUAGCGGCCUGUGCCCCGCAGGAUC
This 30-nucleotide small RNA is filed under the name Bombyx mori (domestic silkworm). RNAcentral describes it as "ovarian small RNA-21973". The record is from RNAcentral. Lineage: Eukaryota; Metazoa; Arthropoda; Insecta; Lepidoptera; Bombycidae.